GGGGUGAUGGCCUACCAAGGCGACGACGGGUAGCCGGCCUGAGAGGGUGUCCGGCCACACUGGGACUGAGAUACGGCCCAGACUCCUACGGGAGGCAGCAGUGGGGAAUAUUGCACAAUGGGCGCAAGCCUGAUGCAGCGACGCCGCGUGGGGGAUGACGGCCUUCGGGUUGUAAACCUCUUUCACCAUCGGCGAAGCCGGGAGCUUUUGUUUCCGGUGACGGUAGGUGGAGAAGAAGCACCGGCCAACUACGUGCCAGCAGCCGCGGUAAUACGUAGGGUGCGAGCGUUGUCCGGAAUUACUGGGCGUAAAGAGCUCGUAGGUGGUUUGUCGCGUUGUCCGUGAAAUUCCCUGGCUUAACUGGGGGCGUGCGGGCGAUACGGGCAGACUGGAGUACUGCAGGGGAGACUGGAAUUCCUGGUGUAGCGGUGGAAUGCGCAGAUAUCAGGAGGAACACCGGUGGCGAAGGCGGGUCUCUGGG
This 481-nucleotide ribosomal RNA is filed under the name uncultured actinomycete. Its description in RNAcentral is "bacterial SSU rRNA". It matches the Rfam family "Bacterial small subunit ribosomal RNA", at positions 254 to 733 of the family's 1533-position model. The record is from RNAcentral. Lineage: Bacteria; Bacillati; Actinomycetota; Actinomycetes; Actinomycetales.